CCUACGGGUGGCUGCAGUGGGGAAUAUUGGACAAUGGGCGAAAGCCUGAUCCAGCCAUGCCGCGUGUGUGAAGAAGGCCUUCGGGUUGUAAAGCACUUUCAGUGGGGAAGAAAGCCUUGGGGCUAAUACCCUCGAGGAAGGACAUCACCCACAGAAGAAGCACCGGCUAACUCCGUGCCAGCAGCCGCGGUAAUACGGAGGGUGCGAGCGUUAAUCGGAAUUACUGAGCGUAAAGCGCGCGUAGGCGGUCUGAUAAGCCGGUUGUGAAAGCCCCGGGCUCAACCUGGGAACUGCAUCCGGAACUGUCAGGCUAGAGUGCAGGAGAGGAAGGUAGAAUUCCCUGUGUAGCGGUGAAAUGCGUAGAGAUCGGGAGGAAUACCAGUGGCGAAGGCGGCCUUCUGGACUGACACUGACGCUGAGGUGCGAAAGCGUGGGUAGCAAACAGGAUUAGAUACCCGAGUAGUC
RNAcentral lists this ribosomal RNA (465 nucleotides) under Vreelandella stevensii. RNAcentral's name for it is "partial 16S ribosomal RNA". It matches the Rfam family "Bacterial small subunit ribosomal RNA", at positions 338 to 795 of the family's 1533-position model. The record is from RNAcentral. Lineage: Bacteria; Pseudomonadati; Pseudomonadota; Gammaproteobacteria; Oceanospirillales; Halomonadaceae.